UGUGUGUGUGUGUGGUGGUCUGUGAAGAGAGAGAGAGAGAGAGGCAGGCAGGCAGGCAGGCAGCUGCGUCUGCGUCGUGGCCGGCGCGGCGCUGCGCUGCGCGAAAACCAAAUCCUCACCUCCGUUCCCCAUUCGCACCAUCCACUCCACCCAUCCUCCUCGCGCCCCGAAAAAUGGCGCCAAGCCCUCCCGCGCGGGCCAGCUGCCCCAGCAGCUAUUUCCCCCUCCUCCUCUGACUUGACCGACCGACCGACCCGGAGCCGCGCGCCCCCCAAACCCUAACCCCCGGGGCCGGUCCCUGCCGCCCUGGGGCCCCGCCCCGGCCAUGGCGUCGCUGCCCAAGCCGCCGCCGCCGCCGCGCCCCAAGACGCGGGGCAACUACAACUGCGGCCGCUGCGGCCAGCCCAAGAAGGGCCACGUCUGCGUCGGCCCCGUCGCCCCCGGCCCCGCCCCGACCCCGUCGCCCUCCUCCUCGUCGGGGGCCGCCAGCGCCACCGCCAGCGCCAGCGCCGGAGGAGGGGAGCAGCAGCACAGGCUCCGCCGCGCCCUCUCCUUCGACGAGGCCGGAACCACGCCGUCGUCGCCGGAGAAGAAGCCCAAGGUGGAGGACGACGCGGACAUGGCCGAGGCGGAGCUGGACGACGAGGAGGAGGGCGCCACGGUGGACGUGGGCGCCCGCCGCCCCGUGCCCACGGAGGUCAUGGCGGAGGUCCUGCGCCGCCUCGGCCCCCGCGGGGUCUUGGCCGCCGCGGGCGUCAGCCGCGGCUGGCGGGACUGCGCGGGCCGCGUCUGGCGGGCCGCCGACGAGCUCCGCCUCCGCGUCCUCGCCGCCUCUGGCGUCGCCCUCCUCGCCGCGCUGCUCCCGCGCUGCACCGCGCUCUCCCGCCUGUACCUCCGAAUGGAAAGUGAUGUUGACGCCACUACCUUGGAUUGUAUUGCAUUUUCCUGCCCAAGUUUAAGAACUCUCGAGAUUACCAUGGCUGCUGAUGCAGUCAACAGGAUUACUGGGGAGGAUCUAAGUCGUUUUGUCUCGGAGAAGUCUACUCUCUCAGUUCUCAAAAUUGGUGGUUGCUCUAAUUUGGAUAUUCUUAAUCUGUGCUCUUCAAGCCUUUCAAUUCUUUGGCUGUCAGAUCUUUGUUCCCUUUCGAAAUCGGUUAUGAACUGUCCUAAUAUGAAUGAGCUCUCACUAUGCUUCACACAACAAAGUAGUGAUUGUACCGAUCUGGUUACUUUGAUGGAUGGCCUAGGUCGUACAUGCCUUAACUUGAAAAAAAUGCACAUAUCAUCAAGUCAAUUAUCCAAUGAAGCUGUAUGCGCUCUAGAGAAUGCUAAUCUCAGGGGACUGUGCAUGCUAUCCUUGAUUCUAGGUUCAAAAAUAACUGAUGCAGCUGUUGCAUCUAUUGUUCGGUCGUGUCCGAGCUUGGAGUUACUUGAUUUAAGUGGAUCUAGCAUUAGUGAUAAUGGUGUUGGGAUGAUCUGCAAAGCGUUCCCUCAUACUUUAUCAAGGCUGCUCCUUGCUCUUUGCCCAAAUGUGACCACACGUGGGAUCCAGCUAGCCACAGCACAGUUGCCAUGUCUCCAACUCAUGGACUGUGGAAUGAGCCUAUGCACUAACAUGAAGAAUGAAAAAGAGGGUCCAUAUUUUGGUGAACUCAAUGGAUGUAUUAGAAUUAUACCAAAACUAUCCACCUUAAAGAGGCAACCUAUUCACCAAAAGCUUAUUAUAAAGCAUGGGAAUUUGAAGAAACUCAGUCUGUGGGGCUGUUCUGCAAUAGAUGCUCUAUAUGUAAAUUGUCCAGAGUUAAAUGAUCUCAAUCUUAACUCUUGCACAAAUCUACAUCCAGAACGUCUGCUUCUUCAGUGCCCAAAUUUGAAGAAUGUCCAUGCAUCUGGAUGCCAAGAUAUGUUGAUUGGAGCAAUCAGAAAUCAGACACUGAUAACAUCCAAGCCACAAAACCUAAUCAAGCAACUUAUAUGAACUGGAGUCUAGGAUGAAGUGAGCAGAGGGUUGGAGCUGAAGGUUCUGAAUGAGUUCGCUGCAGCUGAACCAUCUCUUCCCUGCAAGCGGCUAGCAGAUGGCUUGAAACGGGUUCAACUCCCCCAGUUCCAAAAGCAGCAGCCAUUGGAGGACGACAAAUUGAUUCAAUUGAGCCAGACCCAGUGCAUCUUGGUUCAUAAUAACAUCACUAGAGCCAGUUAACCGAGCAUUGUACACACCAAUUAUGUGAAUCAUGCACCACAUAACAUUAUUAAUUCGUUGUAUACUUGCUGUAUUGCAUCAGAACCUGUAGUGCUUGUUGUAUAAGCUGCUAAUUGCUGCCUGGACAUGUGAAUCCCUCAUGGGUUUCUUGCAACUGUCCUAGGAAACAUUAUAGAGCAAUAAUUUGUAACCAUGACCCGUAUUAUCUAGGAAACAACAAUGAUCCUAGAUCAUUUGGUUUGGUGGCAUUAUUAUGCUAUGCUUUCAUGAGCUGCCUAUGGACAUUGGUUCUUCAACCUCUCCUUGUAGAUAAUGAGAAACUACAUAAUCCAUAUCCAUAUUCUGUUUAA
Molecule: RNA transcript, 2550 nt
Organism: Sorghum bicolor (sorghum)
Lineage: Eukaryota; Viridiplantae; Streptophyta; Magnoliopsida; Poales; Poaceae
Gene name: F-box/LRR-repeat protein 17
Exons: 12
Source: RefSeq, a predicted model, not a curated record